UAUGUGUUUGCAGGAGAGGAAUCGAGCAGAGAGAGCUGCUUUUUCAUGAAACCGGAGUAAAGUAGUGAACUUACAGGAACAUAUACAACUACCAACGUUGGGGUCAAUUUCUGCAUCGAUCCGCACACCCUUGUCUCCUGGAUCGUAGCUCAGAUCAGCGUGAACCACGUGGGUCUCUGCUCCCUGAUCUGUGUCCUGUGUUUGGAAAAACUUCCAGCUUCAUCACGGAGUUUCUCUCGGUUUGUGGGCUCAUCUAAAGCUGAGAGUCUGGUGGAACAACAGAGGAACAAUUUCAGCCAUUUGGACUCAGCUCAGCCACUACAGAGGAAACAAUGUCUUCAACACAAAAGGACCAACAUGGAGCGAGAAGUCAGCGCUCUCAGGAGGCCGACAAACCUCAC
This is a long non-coding RNA of Oreochromis aureus, 401 nucleotides long. RefSeq lists it as uncharacterized. The transcript has 3 exons. NCBI's taxonomy places the organism in Eukaryota, Metazoa, Chordata, Actinopteri, Cichliformes, Cichlidae. The record is from RefSeq and is a predicted model, not a curated record.